Mobula hypostoma (lesser devil ray) is the source of this 3179-nucleotide long non-coding RNA. RefSeq lists it as uncharacterized. The record is from RefSeq and is a predicted model, not a curated record. The transcript is spliced from 5 exons. NCBI's taxonomy places the organism in Eukaryota, Metazoa, Chordata, Chondrichthyes, Myliobatiformes, Myliobatidae.
AAGGAGGCGGGCAAUUACCCUUCAGGCUGACGUCAAUCAUAACAUCCCCGCUCUCCGUUUCCACCUACCGAUACCUGACAGGUGUCUUGUCCAAUAGGCGAAUAAGAUAAAAUGACGUAGCAUCCACUUCCCCCAAUAGGUGUUACGGGGGCGGGACUGUAUGUAGUUGGCGCCAAGGAGAUGAAAUGGCGGCGGUGGGGGCUGAGCUCGUCGCGGUGUUUGGGACAUUGGAUCCCUUUUGCCAACUCGCUGGUGUCAACGGUUGGGCACUGAAGAUGCGGGAGCUUCAGCGGCAUGAAAGGAACUGAGCUUCGGGAUACUGGUGGUGGUCCCCAAACUGCUGUCUGUUGUGUCAGUCGGGGGUGACUGAAACGCGAGUACAGAGUGAGUUACGGAUUUGCCUGAUGCCAAGAUGUUUAUGGCUGCUGGUUAUAUUGCAUUCAGAUAUGGAAGGUUCCACAAUCUGCUGGAGGAGCUUUGGGUUGAGCAGCACAGGGGGCAGAACUGGAGAUGGGAUACAGAUGGUGGUGAUCCCAUGUCCAGUUGCAAUCUAAUGCCCUUUGUUCGAAAGGGUCAUUGAAUUGGAUUCCAUCCUAACAUUGUACACACUGCUCAUUGUCAUUAACUAAGUUCCUACACUGGAAGGCAUCCCUGUAUUUGUACAUCUUUGCUGAGUUGUGCCAUGGAUCACCAACAGGUGGCAUGAGUGAACAGUGGGAAGGCUAAGAGAUGGAAAAAAUGGAAUGCUGCUGGAGGAACUAAACAGAUCAGGCAGCAUCUGUGUAGAGGGGACAAUGGCAAAUACUGGAGAUCCCAGGAACCAAAAUAAUAAAUUGAUUCUGACCUCAGUAUUUGCUGCCACACAAUGGAUUCUCCCUGGUGUCAGCUCUCUUUGCACAUCCACCAGCUGAGGAUGAACAGGUGAACUUGCUGCUUAGAAGCAGAGGUCGCUGUAGCUACAAGUUUUAGCAUCCACUCGCUAUUGUAGUCUUCAGUUCUGCAUAGAUUUUUCCCACUGUAAUGAAGCCAAAAUCUAAAUUAUUGGUCUGGUGAAAUGAACUUUGCAUCUUGUGUUAUUCAUAGAUAGCCCAUCACUCUAUUAAACAUCAUUUGGUUCUGUGUGUAUUCUCCAACUAUGUUGUGGACACCAAAACUUGUGUAUGUGAUGUUUGGAGUUGAAACUCUGGCACAGUCGUCUGUAUGCAGACACUGCCAAGACUGGAGGGACUUUACAUUGUUGACUCAUGUAUUAAUGUAUUCAUCUGUAUGUAUACAGCAUUUUGUUUUUUAGAAAAGCAUGUAAUAAACCAUGUUUUUCUUGUGAACAACUUGCAAGCUGUUUGAAGCUUUUGUAUAUUUAUGCAUAAUAUGUACAAUAUUUAAUAUUGUAUGUACUCAGCAGCCACUUUAUUAGGUACACCUUAUUAAUGCAAAUGUCCAAUACUGUAUGCCAAUCACAUGGCAGAAAUUCAAUGAAUGAAAGCAUACAGACAUGGUCAAGAGGUUCAGUUGUUGUUCAGACCAAAUGUCAGAAUGGAGAAGAAAUGUGAUGGAGUGACUUCCGACCUUGUUGGUGCCAGAAAGAGUGGUUUGAGUAUCUCAGAAACUGCUGAUCUGUGAUUUUCCUGCACAGCAGUCGCUAGUUUACAGAAAAGGUGCAAAAAGCAAACAACUCAUCCAGUGAGCAGCAGUUCUGUGGGUGAAAAUGCCUUGAUAAUGAGAGCGGUCAAAGAAGAAAGGCCAGAAUGGUUCACGGUGACAGUAACUCAUAACCACAUCUCUAAAUGCACAACACAUCAAACCUUUACUGCAGCAGACCAUGCGGGGUUCCAUUGCUGUACCUAAUAAAGCAGCAAUGAAUAUCUGUACAUGGGAGAGGUACUGUACAUAUGUGUAAAAUAUAUUUCUGGUCUGGGUGGGAGCAAAGAACAAAAUACUGCAUUCCUGUAAAGUUCUGGUCAAAAGCAACUUUGCUGCACCUUGCUGAUUAUAGUUCCUCAUUUAUAAUAGUUGUCCACAUUGAAGACUUAUUAGAAUCACAUUUGCGUGGAACAUUCCCAUUACUAAUCAAUAGAGUGAAGGGCUGAGAAUUUGUUAGGAAAUAGGAAAGUUUAAAAUUCAAAGUAAAUUUAUUAUCGACAUAUGUACAAUACAUGUCACCUUUGGGGGAGGCACAGUAGAGUAGUGGUUAGCAGAACACUUUACAGUACCGGCGACUCAGGUUCACUUCCACUGCUGUCUAUAAGGAAUUUGUAUGUUCUCCCCGUGGCUGUGCGUUUCCUCCAAGCGCUCUGGUUUCCUCCCACUGUCCAAAGACUUACUAGUUAGUAGGUUAAUUGGUUAUUGUUAAUUGUCCUGUGAUUAGGUGAGGGUUAAAUUGGGGUUUGCUGGGCAGCACAGCUCAAAGGGCCUAUUCCACAUUGCAAUUCAAUAAAUAAAAAUACUACCCUGAGAUGCAUUAUCUUGCAGGCAUUCACAGAACAAAGAAAUACAAUGGAAUAUGAAAAAACUACAAAGACUGACAACCAAUGUACAAAAGACAAACUGCAAAUACAAAUAAAUAAUACUGAGAACAUGAGUUAGUGAGUCUAUAGAGGUUGAGGUAAGUGAAGUUAUUCAUGCUGGUUCAGGAGCCGGAUGAUUGGAAAUAACUGUUCCUGGUGACUAGCCUUGUAGCUGUGGACUCACUUUCAUGAACUUCUGUUUGCAUGACGAAUAAAUUUCUCAGGAUUUCAGCCAGCUAUAGAUAUCGAUUAUAACUGAUAUUUUGAUGGCAAACUGCCAUUUUCUUCAGGGAUGGUGCUUGGGCAUAUAGUCUGGUGGUAUUUAUAACCCUGUAGUCCGUCCUGCCUGAUUGGUUAAUCCUUGUCCAAUCAGGUUUGCACUUUCCCACCAUUUUUACAAUCGAAUUCCAGUUCUUUCUUAUAGCAAGACCCUCAUAUGUGUUAAAAUUCAUUUCCUCUGAUUUUAUUUGAAUGGCUUCCUUUACCAGGUGGUCCCAAAAGUUAUUGUCACAGCACAGUUUUGCAUGAUUUUGUUCGACAUAUUUGCAUGUUCUUUAAUGGGUUCUAUUGGGUUUCUUUGUUUUGUGGCUGCCUGUGAGAUGAAUCUCAAGGUUGUUUAUAGUGUACAUACCUUGACAAUAAAUGUACUUUGAACCCUAGUGGUGUGGUUCCUGA